CAGCAGCCGCGGGAAUACAGAGGGUGCGAGCGUUAAUCGGAUUUACUGGGCGUAAAGCGUGCGUAGGCGGCUUUUUAAGUCGGAUGUGAAAUCCCUGAGCUUAACUUAGGAAUUGCAUUCGAUACUGGGAAGCUAGAGUAUGGGAGAGGAUGGUAGAAUUCCAGGUGUAGCGGUGAAAUGCGUAGAGAUCUGGAGGAAUACCGAUGGCGAAGGCAGCCAUCUGGCCUAAUACUGACGCUGAGGUACGAAAGCAUGGGGAGCAAACAGGAUUAGAUACCCGGGUAGUCCCUGUCUCUUAUAA
RNAcentral lists this ribosomal RNA (301 nucleotides) under uncultured bacterium. Its description in RNAcentral is "partial 16S ribosomal RNA". It matches the Rfam family "Bacterial small subunit ribosomal RNA", at positions 509 to 809 of the family's 1533-position model. The record is from RNAcentral.